GUUUUAGUUGUUGCUCUAGAGGGUAUCUAAAAUUCUGUGAUACAAACUCUGAUAGUACAUGGAAUACUGUCCAUGGUAACAAGAUGCACUUUUAUUUUGAUGUGGAAAUAUACAUCUUCCCUCUUCUCAAUCCUGGGUAGACGGGUGCCUUCCUCUGGCAGACGUGCAGGUUCUCUAUGCAGUGCCUUUGGGAAAAUAUGUUUCCCUGAGAACAGUUCUCAGCACUCUUUCUGAUAGAGAAAACUGAUCCCUUAGCACAGCCUGGUGGCUGUUAGUGAGACAGCAAGCAAAAUAUAAAAUCACACAAUUAUAUGUGAGAGAGGAAGUGAUUGUAUUACUGCUGUAGGUGUGAUGGUCUCACUUUCCUGUAGAGCAAGUUCUAGAUGAGGUGAGAGUGGUUGUGGGAAAAUGGAGAUGCUGUCUGGCACACCAGCCCACUGUAGAUCUGAAAUAAUAACAGUAAAUUCAAGUGUAGUCUGAAGGGGAAAAAUGUUCUGUGCAGAGGUAGCUGCCAGAAAGAGAGGGAAAAUAUAUCUGAGUGGGGAAAGGAAAUGAUUGCAUUCAGAAUGGAGACAAAACCUGUCAUUAAACUCAUGUAUCAGAGUGGAUGAUCUUUAUUAUCUGCUUAUUUAACAUCAGUGAAUUUCAGCUAGCUCUGUAGACCACCCUAAAAGAUCAGGAUUGAAAAGUCACAGGUUUUUUUUUGUCAGAAAUGUUCGUACGGCAAUGUCAAGGACAAUGGUAUGAAGUAUCUGUGCAGCCUAGUAAAACCUAAAGCCAUGGCCAUGAUAUGGCACAUGAAGACAGAUGAAAAUUUGGAGGCAUCUCCACUGUCAUAGCCCUUGAAAAGGACACCAUCUUCCAAUCAUCUACUGGAUUAUUUUUGUUCUUACAGAUCUGCUGCUAAAGUACAGGGUAUGUUUCUAAGCUGUGCAUUUUCUUAACUCCUAUUUUUAUUGCAGGCAGUAAAUUCUUGGCUAACACUUAAGUUAAUAAAUUAUAGCAGUGGUGAAAAUGGCCCAGGUGGUGGUGUGCUUUUCUGUGAGAUUUGAGAAUUUCACUCUACAAAUGCCAGAAAGAGCCAUGAAUAAAAUUCCAUACUGCUGCAAAACACAUAUAUCACCUUUCCAGAUUGAUGUGAUAUUUCAUCAAGAGCAUCAUUUAUUUGCUGGGAAAUUAUUUAUUCUAGUAAACUCGCUGAUGACAAAUUGAAGAAUUGCAGGUGGCUACACCUUAUGUGUUGGUUCCAAAAUAGGUUUCUAAUACAAGAAAAAGGAUGAAUUAUAACGCUGCCGCUGGCUGGAAGAAGCAGGUGAAAGUACUCAAGGCUGAGGCAGCAAGAAAACAUCUGCACUUUGGAGGCACAAAUGUCUUGAAAAUGGGGGCAGAUAUCCCCCAUAUUAAACAAAGGAAGGGAAAUGGGGGAUUCAGAAGAGUGAAGAAGAUAGAGUUUGUGUGGCAGCACUAAUCAUACAAAAAUUUGAGCAUGAAAUAACCCCUGGGAACAAAGUCCAGAUAAUAUGAUUUUGAUUAAAUCACUCCUAUCCAGUGAUUCAACCCCAUGUGUAGUAUGAUGGUAAGUGCCUACUGCAGAGAGCUGCUUUGUGAAUUAAUUCCAGCAGUCUGCUUCACUAACCAAACAGGGGGUGACAUGGGGUUGCCAAUGUAGACUGUGACAGUCAAUGAUGGCACUGAUUUUUUCAUAUCUGGAGGACUGAUGACGAUUUACUGGGUGAAAGGUGUAUAGCAAGAGGAAAGUUAGAGAUUUCCUUGUCAAGCAUCCCUUCUGUCAAGAGGAAUUUCAUCUUAGACGUGAUGAUAACCACCAUUUCCUAACUGAAGAGUUAGAUUCCAUAAACCAGAUAUUCCUUGUGUGACUUUGUCUCUUUUCAAGCCAGUAUAUGUCUGUGUGCAAUCGGAGAUGCGUUUGCACAAAACAUGCAACCAUAUGAGUGUAAACCAGUCCAGCCUCAGGAAUUCUUUGCCUGCUUCACUGCAAAUUAACACAUUGGGAUUCAGGUAUUCUGAAAAUAAUCUACAACCACAGUGGUGCAAAUACUGCUGUGGUAACCUUGGUUGUUUCUCUGCCCAAAUGCAGCCACAGUCCCCUAAAGGGUGUUUCUGUCCCUCUUGCCACUUGUCAUUUACUGCUUUUUUGAACAGCAACAACAAAAAUUAGGUACAGGGUCUGUGUUUUGAAAAAAUAAUAUGAAAAAGAUUACCUAUAGUUAUCCAAAGGCAAUUCAAUAAUUUUAGUGGUGACUCACAUCUAAGUUAUUUGAUUUUCUUGGAACUGAUAUUAAUGUUCUGCUGAGUUCUCUUGAGAGCCUUUUCCUACAA
Gallus gallus (chicken) is the source of this 2340-nucleotide long non-coding RNA. Lineage: Eukaryota; Metazoa; Chordata; Aves; Galliformes; Phasianidae. The record is from Ensembl.